RNAcentral lists this ribosomal RNA (250 nucleotides) under uncultured bacterium. Its description in RNAcentral is "partial 16S ribosomal RNA". It matches the Rfam family "Bacterial small subunit ribosomal RNA", at positions 524 to 774 of the family's 1533-position model. The record is from RNAcentral.
UACGGAGGGAGCUAGCGUUGUUCGGAAUUACUGGGCGUAAAGCGCACGUAGGCGGCUAUUCAAGUCAGAGGUGAAAGCCCGGGGCUCAAUCCCGGAACUGCCUUUGAAACUAGAUAGCUAGAAUCUUGGAGAGGUCGAGUGGAAUUCCGAGUGUAGAGGUGAAAUUCGUAGAUAUUCGGAAGAACACCAGUGGCGAAGGCGACUGACUGGACAAGUAUGACGCUGAGGUGCGAAAGCGUGGGAGCAAACA